Molecule: ribosomal RNA, 2229 nt
Filed under: Enterococcus faecium EnGen0148
Lineage: Bacteria; Bacillati; Bacillota; Bacilli; Lactobacillales; Enterococcaceae
Description: bacterial LSU rRNA
Rfam family: Bacterial large subunit ribosomal RNA
Source: RNAcentral
UUAAGUGAAUAAGGGCGCACGGUGGAUGCCUUGGCACUAGGAGCCGAUGAAGGACGGGACUAACACCGAUAUGCUUUGGGGAGCUGUACGUAAGCUAUGAUCCAGAGAUUUCCGAAUGGGGGAACCCAACAUCUUUAAUAGGAUGUUACGAUUGUGUGAAUACAUAGCACAUUCGAGGUAGACGCAGAGAACUGAAACAUCUAAGUACCUGCAGGAAGAGAAAGAAAAUUCGAUUCCCUGAGUAGCGGCGAGCGAAACGGGAAAAGCCCAAACCAGCAAGCUUGCUUGUUGGGGUUGUAGGACUCCAAUAUGGUAGUUCUUUCAGAUAGUCGAAUGACUUGGAAAAGUCAGUCAAAGAGGGUAAAAACCCCGUAGACGAAAUGUGGAAGACACCUAGGAGGAUCCUGAGUACGGCGGAACACGAGAAAUUCCGUCGGAAUCCGGGAGGACCAUCUCCCAAGGCUAAAUACUCCCUAGUGACCGAUAGUGAACCAGUACCGUGAGGGAAAGGUGAAAAGCACCCCGGAAGGGGAGUGAAAUAGAACCUGAAACCGUGUGCCUACAACAAGUCAAAGCCCGUUAAUGGGUGAUGGCGUGCCUUUUGUAGAAUGAACCGGCGAGUUACGAUUGCAUGCGAGGUUAAGUUGAAGAGACGGAGCCGCAGCGAAAGCGAGUCUGAAUAGGGCGUUUGAGUAUGUAGUCGUAGACCCGAAACCAUGUGAUCUACCCAUGUCCAGGUUGAAGGUGCGGUAAAACGCACUGGAGGACCGAACCCACGUACGUUGAAAAGUGCGGGGAUGAGGUGUGGGUAGCGGAGAAAUUCCAAACGAACUUGGAGAUAGCUGGUUCUCUCCGAAAUAGCUUUAGGGCUAGCCUCGGAAUUGAGAAUGAUGGAGGUAGAGCACUGUUUGGACUAGGGGCCCAUCUCGGGUUACCGAAUUCAGAUAAACUCCGAAUGCCAUUCAUUCAUAUCCGGGAGUCAGACUGUGAGUGAUAAGAUCCAUAGUCGAAAGGGAAACAGCCCAGACCACCAGCUAAGGUCCCAAAAUAUAUGUUAAGUGGAAAAGGAUGUGGGGUUGCACAGACAACUAGGAUGUUGGCUUAGAAGCAGCCACCAUUUAAAGAGUGCGUAAUAGCUCACUAGUCGAGUGACCCUGCGCCGAAAAUGUACCGGGGCUAAACAUAUUACCGAAGCUGUGGAGUACACCUUUAGGUGUAUUGGUAGGAGAGCGUUCUAAGGGCGUUGAAGGCAGAUCGUGAGGACUGCUGGAGCGCUUAGAAGUGAGAAUGCCGGUAUGAGUAGCGAAAGACAGGUGAGAAUCCUGUCCACCGAAUGACUAAGGUUUCCUGGGGAAGGCUCGUCCGCCCAGGGUUAGUCGGGACCUAAGCCGAGGCCGACAGGCGUAGGCGAUGGAUAACAGGUUGAUAUUCCUGUACCCGUUGUUUUUGUUUGAGCAAUGGAGGGACGCAGGAGGCUAAGGAAUGCAGACGAUCGGAAAUGUCUGUCCAAGCAGUAAGUCUGAAGAGGAGUCAAAUGCUUCUUUUCUUAAGGACAAGCUGUGAUGGGGAGGGAAAUAAUAGUACCGAAGUUCCUGAUGUCACACUGCCGAGAAAAGCUUCUAGUGAGAAAACAGCGGCCCGUACCGCAAACCGACACAGGUAGUCGAGGAGAGAAUCCUAAGGUGAGCGAGAGAACUCUCGUUAAGGAACUCGGCAAAAUGACCCCGUAACUUCGGGAGAAGGGGUGCUGAUCAUACGAUCAGCCGCAGUGAAUAGGCCCAAGCGACUGUUUAUCAAAAACACAGGUCUCUGCAAAAUCGUAAGAUGAAGUAUAGGGGCUGACGCCUGCCCGGUGCUGGAAGGUUAAGAGGAGUGCUUAGCGCAAGCGAAGGUACGAAUUGAAGCCCCAGUAAACGGCGGCCGUAACUAUAACGGUCCUAAGGUAGCGAAAUUCCUUGUCGGGUAAGUUCCGACCCGCACGAAAGGCGUAACGAUUUGGGCACUGUCUCAACGAGAGACUCGGUGAAAUUUUAGUACCUGUGAAGAUGCAGGUUACCCGCGACAGGACGGAAAGACCCCAUGGAGCUUUACUGUAGUUUGAUAUUGAGUGUCUGUACCGCAUGUACAGGAUAGGUAGGAGCCGUAGAAAUCGGAACGCUAGUUUCGAUGGAGGCGCUGGUGGGAUACUACCCCUGCGUUAUGGCCACUCUAACCCGCACCACUAAUCGU